Molecule: ribosomal RNA, 300 nt
Filed under: uncultured Pseudomonas sp.
Lineage: Bacteria; Pseudomonadati; Pseudomonadota; Gammaproteobacteria; Pseudomonadales; Pseudomonadaceae
Description: bacterial SSU rRNA
Rfam family: Bacterial small subunit ribosomal RNA
Source: RNAcentral
CACCUGGGAAUCUGCCUGGUAGUGGGGGAUAACGUUCCGAAAGGAACGCUAAUACCGCAUACGUCCUACGGGAGAAAGCAGGGGAUCUUCGGACCUUGCGCUAUCAGAUGAGCCCAGGUCGGAUUAGCUAGUAGGUGAGGUAAUGGCUCACCUAGGCGACGAUCCGUAACUGGUCUGAGAGGAUGAUCAGUCACACUGGAACUGAGACACGGUCCAGACUCCUACGGGAGGCAGCAGUGGGGAAUAUUGGACAAUGGGCGCAAGCCUGAUCCAGCCAUGCCGCGUGUGUGAAGAAGGUCU